Molecule: unclassified non-coding RNA, 240 nt
Filed under: soil metagenome
Description: partial contains 5.8S ribosomal RNA, internal transcribed spacer 2, and large subunit ribosomal RNA
Source: RNAcentral
AACGCACGAGACCUGCGGACCUGCGGAAGGAUCAUUAAUGAGAAGCUGCCCCUCGUGGGUAGACCUCCCACCCUCUGUGAACUUGCCUUUGUUGCUUUGGCAGGCCCGUCCUCUGGACCGCCGGCUUCGGCUGGCCCGUGCCUGCCAGAGGAUUCCAAACCCUGUCUGUCAGUGUUGUCUGAGUCUAUAUGAAAUCGUUAAAACUUUCAGCAAUGGAUCUCUAGAUCGGAAGAGCACACG